GGCCUAUUAGGUCUCGUAAUUGGAAUGAGAACGAUUUAAAUACCUUAACGAGGAACAAUUAGAGGGCAAGUCUGGUGCCAGCAGCCGCGGUAAUUCCAGCUCUGAUAGUAUAUAUUAAAGUUGUUGCAGUUAAAAAGCUCGUAGUUGAAACUUGGGUGUGUAGGGGCGGUCUCUUUUAGAGUACUACCCUGAAACAUCUUUCUUUGGUGUAAACUCUUUAUUCACUUAAGGAGUGUAAACCAAACAUUUACUUUGAAAAAAUUAGAGUGUUCAAAGCAGGCCUUUGCUCGAAUAUAUUAGCAUGGAAUAAUAGAAUAGGACGUAUGGUUCUAUUUUGUUGGUUUCUAGGACCGUCGUAAUGAUUAAUAGGGACGGCCGGGGGCAUCAGUAUUCAGUUGUCAGAGGUGAAAUUCUUGGAUUUACUGAAGACUAACUACUGCGAAAGCAUUUGCCAAGGACGUUUUCAUUAAUCAAGAACGAAAGUUAGGGGAUCGAAGACGAUCAGAUACCGUCGUAGUCUUAACCGUAAACUAUGCCGACUAGGGAUCGGAGGGCGUUAUAAUAACCUCUCCGGCACCUUACGAGAAAUCAAAGUUUUUGGGUUCUGGGGGGAGUAUGGUUGCAAGGCUGAAACUUAAAGGAAUUGACGGAAGGGCGCCACCAGGAGUGGAGCCUGCGGCUUAAUUUGACCCAACACGGGGAAACUCACCAGGUCCAGACACAAUAAGGAUUGACAGAUUGAGAGCUCUUUCAUGAUUUUGUGGGUGGUGGUGCAUGGCCGUUCUUAGUUGGUGGAGUGAUUUGUCUGCUUAAUUGCGAUAACGAACGAGACCUUAACCUGCUAAAUAGCUGUAACAAUAGAUUAUUGUUUUGACAGCUUCUUAGAGGGACUAUCGAUUUUCAAGUCGAUGGAAGUUUGAGGCAAUAACAGGUCUGUGAUGCCCUUAGACGUUCUGGGCCGCACGCGCGCUACACUGACGGAGCCAGCGAGUCUAACCUGUGCCGAGAGGUAUGGGUAAUCUUGUGAAACUCCGUCGUGCUGGGGAUAGAGCAUUGCAAUUAUUGCUCUUCAACGAGGAAUUCCUAGUAAGCGCAAGUCAUCAGCUUGCGUUGAUUACGUCCCUGCCCUUUGUACACACCGCCCGUCGCUACUACCGAUUGAAUGGCUUAGUGAGGCUUCCGGAUUGAUUAACUGGAGAGGGCAACUUUUCUGGUUGAACGAGAAGCUAGUCAAACUUGGUCAUUUAGA
RNAcentral lists this ribosomal RNA (1249 nucleotides) under metagenome. RNAcentral's name for it is "SSU rRNA". It matches the Rfam family "Eukaryotic small subunit ribosomal RNA", at positions 489 to 1777 of the family's 1831-position model. The record is from RNAcentral.